UACGGAAGGCAGCAGUGGGGAAUAUUGCACAAUGGGCGCAAGCCUGAUGCAGCCAUGCCGCGUGUAUGAAGAAGGCCUUCGGGUUGUAAAGUACUUUCAGUCGUGAGGAAGGUGUUAAGGUUAAUAACCUUAGCAAUUGACGUUAGCGACAGAAGAAGCACCGGCUAACUCCGUGCCAGCAGCCGCGGUAAUACGGGAGGGUGCGAGCGUUAAUCGGAAUUACUGGGCGUAAAGGGCACGCAGGCGGUUAAUUAAGUUGGAUGUGAAUCCCCGGGCUUAACCUGGGAAUGGCAUUCAAGACUGGUUAGCUAGAGUCUUGUAGAGGGGGUAGAAUUCCAUGUGUAGCGGUGAAAUGCGUAGAGAUGUGGAGGAAUACCGGUGGCGAAGGCGGCCCCUGGACAAAGACUGACGCUCAUGUGCGAAAGCGUGGGGAGCAAACAGGAUUAGAUACC
RNAcentral lists this ribosomal RNA (452 nucleotides) under uncultured bacterium. RNAcentral's name for it is "bacterial SSU rRNA". It matches the Rfam family "Bacterial small subunit ribosomal RNA", at positions 340 to 786 of the family's 1533-position model. The record is from RNAcentral.